RNAcentral lists this long non-coding RNA (1488 nucleotides) under Homo sapiens (human). RNAcentral describes it as "HSALNT0278799". Lineage: Eukaryota; Metazoa; Chordata; Mammalia; Primates; Hominidae. The record is from RNAcentral.
GAGAAACACAAACAAUUACAAAAUGAAGUUGAAAAAGACCUAUUUCAAUGGAAAGAUACAUCAUGUUUGUGAGUUGGAAUACUCAAUAUUGUUAAGAUGUAAGUCCUCUUCAAGUUGACCUAUCCAUUUGGUAUAAUUCCAAUUAAAAUUUUAACAUGCUUUGUGAAAAGAUUUUGAAAAUCUGAUCUUAAAUUUAUACAAAAAGGCAAAGGACCCAGAAUAUCCAAAACAAUUUUGAAAAAGAACAAAGGUGAAGGCCUUAAACUAUUUGAUUUCAAGAUACUAUAAAACUACAGUUAUCAAGAUAGUGUGAAAUUGUCAUGUAGAUCGAGAGAACAGAAUACAGAGCCCAGAAAUAAACACACACUAACAAAGUGUUAAAAGCAAAACUUUAGCUGAAUUAAAUUGAAUUGAAUUGAGCAAAGAAUGAUUCGUGAAUUGAAGAGCCUCCUGAGCCACAGUAGGCUCAAAGGCACCAGCAUAGCCACAUGGUGGAAGAAGAUUUAUGGACAGACAAAGAAAAGUGACAGAAAAUGGAAGUGAGGGACAGAAACAGCUGGACUGGUUACAGCUCAGCGUUUGCCUUAUUUGGACAUGGUUUGAACAGUUGGCUGCCUUUGAUUGGUUAAAACUCAGUGAUUGGCACAUUACUAGGCACACAACUCUACUUAGGUUUUAGUUGACGAUGUACAGAGAAACCCUUAGGCCGAACUUAAAAUAUGUAAGGAGGUAGCUUUAGAUUAAACUUAACAAUUCCCCUCUUUUGAUCAUCCUCUCAAUUUUGAGAGAUUGACCAAAACUUUGUCAUUGCUGUUACUAUCACCAUCAUAAACGUACUUAGUUAGUCUUGGAACCCACUGGGAAACAGCAAAACAGUGGGUUUUGUAAGUUGGGAACAAGGACUUCAGGUUACUUUUUUGUAAAGGUUAGAGUAGAGGGUACAUCCUGGAAUGUCCUGUUCACAGGAAAAAGAUAAAAUCAGGUCUUUUCUAGGAUCUAUGUGUUUCAUGAAAGUCUUAGUUUGAUUAUAUCACAUUUAGCAUGAGUAACUCCAUUUUGGUUUGUUCUGGUCUAUUGGGGCUUAGUGCAGGAGCUCAGUCCAAAACAAUGGCCUCCCAUAAUUUUCUUUUAAAAUUCUCCCCUUUUGGUCACGUUCUCACUUAGGUGAGAGUGUGACCAAAACGUAGGGCCUUACUGCCACUCUCAUUUACCAUCAUUUUGGGCUUCUGGUCUCAGCACGUCAUUCAUAGGUUAUGGUGCCCUCAUGGCCACACAUUUCUUUCAGCUCUUGUCAUUCCACCUGAAGAGAGACCAUUUGACAUUCUAGAGAUGGCUGCAUGCAGACAUUUAAAACUUUUAAGAGAAGACAGCACACCAGGGAAACGAUGAUUAUGAAUAUCAGAAAGAUAAUACCAAGAGUUUGGAGUAUGCUCCUUAGCCAAGGUCCCCAUAAACCAAACAAGCUAAAACCAAAUAGAUCAAAGGAUC